RNAcentral lists this ribosomal RNA (259 nucleotides) under uncultured bacterium. RNAcentral's name for it is "partial small subunit ribosomal RNA". It matches the Rfam family "Bacterial small subunit ribosomal RNA", at positions 26 to 285 of the family's 1533-position model. The record is from RNAcentral.
AGGACGAACGCUGGCGGCGUGCUUAACACAUGCAAGUCGAGCGAGGCCCUUCCUUCGGGAAGGUGCCCUAGCGGCGAACGGGUGAGUAACACGUGGGCAAUCUGCCCCUAGCACUGGGAUAACUCCGGGAAACCGGGGCUAAUACCGGAUAUGACCUCUGAGGGCAUCCUCUGGAGGUGGAAAGGAUCCUGGCUAGGGAUGAGCCCGCGGCCUAUCAGCUUGUUGGUGGGGUAACAGCCUAUCAAGGCGACGACGGGUA